RNAcentral lists this ribosomal RNA (168 nucleotides) under Escherichia coli. Its description in RNAcentral is "partial 16S ribosomal RNA". It matches the Rfam family "Bacterial small subunit ribosomal RNA", at positions 1378 to 1533 of the family's 1533-position model. RNAcentral also lists the same sequence under 2 other names. The record is from RNAcentral. Lineage: Bacteria; Pseudomonadati; Pseudomonadota; Gammaproteobacteria; Enterobacterales; Enterobacteriaceae.
GCCUUGUACACACCGCCCGUCACACCAUGGGAGUGGGUUGCAAAAGAAGUAGGUAGCUUAACCUUCGGGAGGGCGCUUACCACUUUGUGAUUCAUGACUGGGGUGAAGUCGUAACAAGGUAACCGUAGGGGAACCUGCGGUUGGAUCACCUCCUUACCUUAAAGAAGC